Molecule: transfer-messenger RNA, 363 nt
Filed under: bacterium
Lineage: Bacteria
Description: CG2-30-40-21 sp018814245 Standard tmRNA
Rfam family: transfer-messenger RNA
About the family: Bacterial tmRNA, also known as 10Sa RNA or SsrA, is named for its dual tRNA and mRNA-like properties. Its role is to liberate the mRNA from a stalled ribosome.
Source: RNAcentral
GGGGGCGUAAAGGUUUCGACGGGGAUGUUUUAGGGAUAUAGGUUGCGUACCGAGGAGCUGCCAGGCCUCGUAAAAAGGCAGAGCUUUAUAAUUGCCGAUGAUUACAACGAAUUGGCUCUCGCAGCUUAGUUAGCUGCGCAUCCUGGUAGUUCUUUGCCUGUGAGACUAUUAUAGGGUGUAAAUUAGCAGGCUGGCUAAUCCUUGGAUCUUGCUUAGGCAGGGGUUAGUAAGACAAAACAAGCUGGCAUCUUUAGGAUUCUGCCUGUGGAAGCUUGAAGAUGUGAGAUUAAAACACAGGAUAUGUGCGUAGUAGCCUUAUCUUUAAGUCUUCGGACGUGGGUUCGAUUCCCACCGCCUCCACCA